GCCGGACGGAGGGGGCGAAGUGCGACCGCCGGUAGGCGGAGGCCCGGGCGGCCUAGAGGUGGCUCCUCCGGGUCCUCGACCAGGGCCUGGGAUGUGAAUGGAUGCGCGUCUCUGCUCAAGGCUGCACCGGUCCUGGUCGCCUCUAAACUGUCCGCCCUCAUGGGCUUGAAAGCACCUCUGCAGACCCACAAGGUCCAAGGCACUGGAGGAAGACCAGGACCCUGCUCUCUGUGCGAUAGACCGAUUUAAACAAGCAAGCAAGCUCUGCUGAGGUCUGGCUCAUUGCUCCCACCACGUCACCAGGCCACCACGCCACACAGCUUUCCUGUUGCUGAAGUCCAUUUAGCAUCCCCUUUGAACUCUGGUUAAAAUGCCUGAGGCCAAGGAUUGAGAGAGUCAGCUGCGGUCUAACAGAACCCCCCAGUCUGAGAUAAGAAGACAGCUUAGGGGAGAAUGAAGAUGGCAGUGCAGGUUAUUUCUCAUCUGGGGGAAAGUCCUCUGAUAACAGCCGUGUGAUUGCACUCUCAUUGGCCUUCCAACAGCUGCUGCCAAAGGGGCUGGUCCUGCUCUAGUCAGACGCUGACUGGCCUCGGGGUGGGGUGGGGAGGUGCUGCCAGUGCUGGUGGUGCAGGAGGAGGUGGCAUGAGUCUGAGUCAUAGUCAUUCCUGAACAGGAAGCAGGAGGAGCUCAGAUUCUCCUCCUGGGGGUCAGAGAUAGAAUCCAGAGGCCAAAGACAGAGGGGGUGUUUUAUCCAUUUCCCCUUAGUGCACAGCAGCCCAACUUCCAACUGCCAGCUGCUGCCACUCUGCCUGAGGGCAGUUCUCUGGCCACUGAAGCCCACUUUGCACACCUGUGUGGCAGGCUGCAGGUGUCCAAGAAUUACUGCCCCUCCCCUUGCUUCAUCUCCACUAGCCUUCAACCAAUGACUCAUGGAAGUUAGUGUAUAAAUACCAAAGCUCCUCUCCCUUGGGUGGGAUACCUGAGUGUGAGUCUAUACUGGCUCACAGGAUCACAACCGAGCUCCAGUCGUCCCCAGGGUAGAUGGCUGGAUAAUGUCCCCAUUUCUGUGUGCCUUUCCCAUACUGUUUCACUUCCCCUCCUUCUGGUGUUUCUUUAGUUCCCAAAUGAAUGACGUGCAUUGAGUCAUUGUCUCAGCAUCUGCUUCUGGGGGAACCCAAUGAAGACACCAGGUAAAGCCCACCAGGGCAGUUGUCACUAGGAACUGGGUGAUAGGGACAUAGUUCUGGCAGCUGCCUCGCCCAAGCCCUGCCACCAUCAUCAGGGCGCAGAGGCUGGA
Myotis davidii is the source of this 1297-nucleotide long non-coding RNA. RefSeq lists it as uncharacterized. The record is from RefSeq and is a predicted model, not a curated record. Lineage: Eukaryota; Metazoa; Chordata; Mammalia; Chiroptera; Vespertilionidae. The transcript is spliced from 4 exons.